UACGUAGGGGGCAAGCGUUGUCCGGAAUUAUUGGGCGUAAAGCGCGUGUAGGCGGCCCGGUAAGUCCGCUGUGAAAGUCGGGGGCUCAACCCUCGAAUGCCGGUGGAUACUGUCGGGCUAGAGUGCGGAAGAGGCGAGUGGAAUUCCUGGUGUAGCGGUGAAAUGCGCAGAUAUCAGGAGGAACACCAAUUGCGAAGGCAGCUCGCUGGGACGUGACUGACGCUGAGACGCGAAAGCGUGGGGAGCAAACAGG
This 253-nucleotide ribosomal RNA is filed under the name uncultured bacterium. Its description in RNAcentral is "partial 16S ribosomal RNA". It matches the Rfam family "Bacterial small subunit ribosomal RNA", at positions 524 to 776 of the family's 1533-position model. The record is from RNAcentral.